Molecule: ribosomal RNA, 172 nt
Filed under: Helianthus annuus (common sunflower)
Lineage: Eukaryota; Viridiplantae; Streptophyta; Magnoliopsida; Asterales; Asteraceae
Source: RNAcentral
GGUUGCGAUCAUACCAGCACUAAUGCACUGGAUCCCAUCAGAACUCCGCAGUUAAGCGUGCCUGAGCGAGAGUAGUACUAGGACGGGUGACCCCCACUCCGCAGUUAAGCGUGCCUGAGCGAGAGUAGUACUAGGAUGGGUGACCCCCUGGGAAGUGCUCGUGUUGCAACCC